RNAcentral lists this ribosomal RNA (252 nucleotides) under uncultured bacterium. RNAcentral's name for it is "partial 16S ribosomal RNA". It matches the Rfam family "Bacterial small subunit ribosomal RNA", at positions 524 to 776 of the family's 1533-position model. The record is from RNAcentral.
UACAGGGGGGGCAAGCGUUGUUCGGAAUUACUGGGCGUAAGGGCUCGUAGGCGGCCAACUAAGUCACACGUGAAAUCCCCAGGCUUAACCUGGGAACUGCGUGUGAUACUGGAUGGCUUGAAUCCGGGAGAGGGAUGCAGAAUUCCAGGUGUAGCGGUGAAAUGCGUAGAUAUCUGGAGGAAUACCGGUGGCGAAGGCGGUAUCCUGGACCGGCAUUGACGCUGAUGAGCGAAAGCUAGGGGAGCAAACGGG